This 465-nucleotide ribosomal RNA is filed under the name uncultured bacterium. RNAcentral describes it as "partial 16S ribosomal RNA". It matches the Rfam family "Bacterial small subunit ribosomal RNA", at positions 28 to 507 of the family's 1533-position model. The record is from RNAcentral.
GACGAACGCUGGCGGCGUGCUUAACACAUGCAAGUCGAACGGAAAGGCCCUGCUUGCAGGGUACUCGAGUGGCGAACGGGUGAGUAACACGUGGGUGAUCUGCCCUGCACUUCGGGAUAAGCCUGGUAAACUGGGUCUAAUACCGGAUAGGAGCCAUUUUUAGUGUGAUGGUUGGAAAGUUUUUUCGGUGUAGGAUGAGCUCGCGGCCUAUCAGCUUGUUGGUGGGGUAAUGGCCUACCAAGGCGGCGACGGGUAGCCGGCCUGAGAGGGUGGACGGCCACAUUGGGACUGAGAUAAGGCCCAGACUCCUACGGGAGGCAUCAGGGGGGAAUAUUGCACAAUGGGCGCAAGGCUGAUGCAGCGACGCCGCGUGGGGGAGGACGGCCUUCGGGUUGGAAACUCCUUUCGCUAGGGACGAAGCUUUUUGUGACGGUACCUAGAUAAGAAGCACCGGCUAACUACGUG